GAGUGUUGGGUGGUACGGUUAAAGCUUUACCUUGCUGUUUUUUUUCUCAAUUUAUGCGGAAAAUUUGCUAGAUUUCCUUUUUUUUCUUGAAAAUAGCAUUAGCCUGCAUGGCUAAUAUACCUCUGAAUAAACAUAUUUUGCUGCAGCGGAAUCCAUGAACGAAAAACUAAUGAAAACUGGCAGAUUCCGUCGGAAAACGACUCUCUCUCUGAUGACGCAUCUCUAUCAUGCUCAUCAAGUGGGGCUGAAUCUGGGAAUGAAUCCAGAAUCCCAGAGCUGAAUGCUUACAUCGGUCUGGGUUUGUCUGUUGUGUUGAGGAUGCAAAUCGAAAGGACGAAGUGGUGCCUUUGUUAAUUUCUCGAUACUUGGAUUAGCAACAUCAGCAUGGAUUACACACAUACAUGAGAGCGAGGGGGUCAGAGAUGUUUCACAAGCUGAAUUUCAGAAGAUCGAAAAGAAAUAUCAUUCACCCAGUAGCACGAUCAUUCACCCGUUUCGAAAACUCCAUUUAAUCACUGCACUUCGCCACCUGAGGUAUGUGAAGUCCAGAAAUGUUUCACCGGCGCUAAUGAAGCGUUCACGGUGAUUGUAAUUAGUAUAGACAGGAUGCAGGUUUCACGCAGCAAAUCCCAGUUGAAAUAAGCUUCCAUCAGAACCUCUUAGAAGGUGAAGAUUUACAUUUUAAUCAAGAGCCGGUAUUGAAGAAUGAUGGAGACGGUAAAGCUAAAACGACCAAUUGGACAGCAUGUCUAUUCCUGGGCUGCAUGACUACGAUGAUCCGCCAGACGCACCUGCAUGCCGCAUAACAAAGAGAAGUCGGGCAAACUCCUGCUGGGCCCAAUGUUCCUAUCGGGAGAGAUCAUACCCGGUGUCGCCAAACUAAAAACGAUACACACUUCGUGCAGCAUCAGAAGCACGCCGCAGCACAUCUUUGUCCAUCUUUGAACUAGUUCAUACCAUUAUUUUAUUAUUAAUAAACAUAAAAAUGUAAAAUAUAAAAGU
Long non-coding RNA from Armigeres subalbatus, 1002 nucleotides. RefSeq lists it as uncharacterized. The transcript is spliced from 4 exons. Lineage: Eukaryota; Metazoa; Arthropoda; Insecta; Diptera; Culicidae. The record is from RefSeq and is a predicted model, not a curated record.